This 403-nucleotide long non-coding RNA is filed under the name Actinidia chinensis (golden kiwifruit). RNAcentral describes it as "long non-coding RNA (ACHI_LNC005248)". Lineage: Eukaryota; Viridiplantae; Streptophyta; Magnoliopsida; Ericales; Actinidiaceae. The record is from RNAcentral.
ACGACGUUCUCACACUAAAUGGAAAAAGGUAAAUUCUUGAUCACUAACUAUAUAAAGAAAAUUUCUGUUGUUCUCAUGUAUCGAAUUAGACAUGUUUAAAUUAGUAUAUUCCGCAAAUGUAUUUACAGAUUUAACAAAUUUCGUUCACCUGUUCCACUUUGAAGAUAGUAAGGAAUUAUUAUAACCGUUUCAUGCCACUCACAAACUCAAGCAAAAAGAAACACUUAUAUGAGAUAUGCUCAUUUUUAUUUCAAGGCUUGUUUUGAUUCCAUUUUUAUCUAAAGUCCUAGUUUGGAUUAAUAGUUUUUUACACCCACAAAACUAAGAUCAAAACUAAUUCAAAGCACCUUAAGCUCAGUUUUAGAAACUUCUGGUUAUGAAUUAACUAUUGAAGUGCACCUUA